Molecule: small nucleolar RNA, 137 nt
Organism: Saccostrea echinata
Lineage: Eukaryota; Metazoa; Mollusca; Bivalvia; Ostreida; Ostreidae
Product: small nucleolar RNA SNORD10
Exons: 1
Source: RefSeq, a predicted model, not a curated record
GUAAGAUGAUGAAAACAUGCGUGUCAUUUGACCCAUGUGUAACAUUCAUUUACUGCUGAGAUUGUAAUGUUUUAUUGCAGUUUAUUGUAGUCUUUGAAUUGUGCACUUGGUAAAUGAUUUCAUUUUAUUCUGAUUAC